Molecule: ribosomal RNA, 356 nt
Filed under: Acinetobacter baumannii
Lineage: Bacteria; Pseudomonadati; Pseudomonadota; Gammaproteobacteria; Moraxellales; Moraxellaceae
Description: bacterial SSU rRNA
Rfam family: Bacterial small subunit ribosomal RNA
Source: RNAcentral
UUAUCGGAGAGUUUGAUCCUGGCUCAGGACGAACGCUGGCGGCGUGCCUAAUACAUGCAAGUCGAGCGGACAGAUGGGAGCUUGCUCCCUGAUGUUAGCGGCGGACGGGUGAGUAACACGUGGGUAACCUGCCUGUAAGACUGGGAUAACUCCGGGAAACCGGGGCUAAUACCGGAUGGUUGUUUGAACCGCAUGGUUCAAACAUAAAAGGUGGCUUCGGCUACCACUUACAGAUGGACCCGCGGCGCAUUAGCUAGUUGGUGAGGUAACGGCUCACCAAGGCAACGAUGCGUAGCCGACCUGAGAGGGUGAUCGGCCACACUGGGGCUGAGACACGGCCCAGACUCCUACGGGAG